CUGACUCUCUGGAUCUUUCACUGGUCCUGACAAGGGUUUGCUGUGCCAGCCUGAAGGAUGGGAGCAGGUACCACCAGGGAAAGAUAGAGAAAUUUCUGGGUUUUGGCUGAUUUGUGUAAGGAGAAAAGCCAUUUUGUUUACAUUAAGAGUUGCUCCAAAACAUGCCAAUGGAUAAAAAAGGAUCCACAGUUGUGAAAAAUCGCUGUUUGACUCAUCCAGUGAGUACCUUGCUGGAGUUGAUAAACACUGCUGCCUCCAAACAGAAAUCAUCCAGGCAUAGGAGGAGAUCUGUGCCCUUCUUCCACCCUGACUCCUGCUAGAUGCCCUCACCUCUGUACAGGCUUCUGUGCUCCCACGUGCCUUUACUGUGGUGCAAGUAAGGUUUUAUGUGGUGUGUAAACAAGGAAAUCCCUAGAAGCAAAAGAGCACUUUAGAAGUUGGGCUUGCCUGAUGGCAAAAUGAUGACAUGCAGCCACAGCACUGAUAAGGGCUGCAUGUCUGUUGUGUGUUGAGAAAUGGGUGAAACACAGCACAGGGGAGGAAGAGAUGGAAUGUCAUCAUGUGCUUUCCAUUUGCACCAACAUAAAAAAAGGGAUAGUGUUUUCUACUCUUUCCAAGAUAAUGUGAUGUAUGUGUCUGGUUCUAUUAUUUAAAAAAUAUUAAAAUUAUUUGAAAUAUGUUUCAG
Molecule: long non-coding RNA, 685 nt
Filed under: Junco hyemalis (dark-eyed junco)
Lineage: Eukaryota; Metazoa; Chordata; Aves; Passeriformes; Passerellidae
Description: lncRNA (ENSJHYG00000016133.1)
Source: RNAcentral